UACGAGGGGGGCAAAUGUUGUUCGGAAUCACUGGGCGUAAAGGGAGCGUAGGCGGGUUUUUAAGUCAGGUGUUUAAUCCCGGGGCCCAACCCCGGACAGGCACUUGAAACUGGGAAUCUUGAAUAGUGGAGAGGUCGGUGGAAUUCCGCGUGUAGCAGUGAAAUGCGUAGAGAUGCGGAGGAACACCGAUGGCGAAGGCAGCCCCCUGGGCCAACACUGACGCUCAGGCACGAAAGCGUGGGGAGCAAACAGG
Molecule: ribosomal RNA, 253 nt
Filed under: uncultured bacterium
Lineage: Bacteria
Description: partial 16S ribosomal RNA
Rfam family: Bacterial small subunit ribosomal RNA
Source: RNAcentral